Dalotia coriaria is the source of this 1190-nucleotide long non-coding RNA. RefSeq lists it as uncharacterized. The record is from RefSeq and is a predicted model, not a curated record. Lineage: Eukaryota; Metazoa; Arthropoda; Insecta; Coleoptera; Staphylinidae. The transcript has 4 exons.
AUCGCCUACAUGAAAACUUAAAUAAAUAUUUAGUUUUUUUUUAUCGUAGUUGAUAUAAAUACAAUGUUUUUGUUGUUAUGGCUUCAGUAUAAACAUAACAUUCAAUUCAACGAAGAAGAUAAAACUUUAUAUGAUUUAGCCAUACGUAAUUUUAUUUUAAAAGAAAUUAUAUUAUAAAAAAUUACAAGUGAAUAUAUUACCAAAAUAGUAAAUGAAUAAUUGUAGUAUUACAACACAAUGUUGUAUCAAAUUGUGCAAGGCCCACAAAUGAGAAUAUAAGGGGCAUUGCUUGAAUAUAUUCACAGGCGACGGUACGCUGCUGACACUGACAACGCGCAAAGAUCGCCAAUUGAAGUUUUCAAAAAUAAAAUACUUGGAAAUACUUCAUGGUCACAAUUGUCAUCAACAAUUUAUUCUGGCUUACGUUGGUACUGUAUGUACAACUGCACUAGUUACUAUUGAAUUGCAAAACUGCGAUGGGAAUUCUAAAGAUUCAUGUAGAUACAUUGUACCAAGUUAUUUUUUCAUCGAUAAAAUUGAACGCCCUUAUCGCACAAUCUACAAUAUAUUCAUAAUAAGUUUUAUAAUAUAUGAAGCGAUAUGUGUACUAUCAGCUGUAGUAAUAUUACACAUUGAAUUGGAAAACUUGGAACUAACUUUUGAUGUAUUUAAAUUGACUCUACAAGAUGCCAGACGCUCAUCGAUUAAAACAAUGCGACGUCGUAAAUUAAUUACAGCGCAUCAGCAACAUAUGUAUAUGUUCAGGUAUGAAGAAUGAUACAUAUAAGAACUACAUAAAAUGUAAGUUAAUUAUAGGCUUUGGACAUUUACACUGAAAAUCUGUGGUAAUCCACUGGUAAUGUUUGUUGUUAUUUGUGGGCUUGAAAUAUCAUUGAUUCUGAUUACAGAGUUAAUUGUAAAUCGAUAUAAACAUAGUACUAUUUCUUCAUUUCACGUGAUCAUAAUAUUUUGCAGCAAUUUGAACUAGGUACUUUCAAUUGGACAUUUAAGUGUUUAUGUUAUUGGUUGUGAUAUUAUGGGUAUUGCCGGGGAAAAGUUAAAAAGUCUGAAUGAAAAAAUACGUAACACCGCAUUUUAUGAGUGCCCAUGGGAUGGAGAUGUUAAAACUGUCAAAUUUCUGAUGUUUAUGAACUUAAGCUCUACAAAUCAAUUUUUGUUGUCAGCCAACG